UACGGAGGGAGCUAGCGUUGUUCGGAAUUACUGGGCGUAAAGCGCACGUAGGCGGCCUAUCAAGUCAGGGGUGAAAUCCCGGGGCUCAACCCCGGAACUGCCCUUGAAACUGGUAAGCUAGAAUCCUGGAGAGGCGAGUGGAAUUCCGAGUGUAGAGGUGAAAUUCGUAGAUAUUCGGAAGAACACCAGUGGCGAAGGCGACUCGCUGGACAGGUAUUGACGCUGAGGUGCGAAAGCGUGGGGAGCAAACAGG
Molecule: ribosomal RNA, 253 nt
Filed under: uncultured bacterium
Lineage: Bacteria
Description: partial 16S ribosomal RNA
Rfam family: Bacterial small subunit ribosomal RNA
Source: RNAcentral